This is a long non-coding RNA of Sorghum bicolor (sorghum), 740 nucleotides long. RefSeq lists it as uncharacterized. Lineage: Eukaryota; Viridiplantae; Streptophyta; Magnoliopsida; Poales; Poaceae. The record is from RefSeq and is a predicted model, not a curated record. The transcript has 3 exons.
CAACUCUCUGCGUUCGUGUGUGUGUUCAUCCUCAUCGGAUUUGUGUCAUUCGUGUGAUAGGAUUCAACAGAAAACUACUACUCCUGUGGCAGCAGGAAGAAAGCGACAGGAGGAGCAAGGAGGUCUCAUCCUGCAGAAACACACAACCUGACAGAGAAGCGACGAAGGCGCAAGAUAGACGACAAGUUGAAGACCCUUCGACAGCUCGUUCCAGGGUGCGAUGACAAGAGCAACCAAGCCUCAAUUCUGGACCAGACCAUCCAGCACAUCAAGUCACUGCAGCAACAAAUCCAGGUCCAACCUAAGGCAAUCUCGUUGGGGUGCGAUGCCAUCAAGCCACCAGCAGUUUACCCAGUCGUGCUGCCACAGGGCACGGCUGUCGCUGCCGCCGGCGAGCUGCUGCCGCCUGCAGCCGCGCUUCCUCCAGCGGUGCUGGCCAUGGCGGCGAGAGGGCAUGUCCGGCCAGGGUUGGCGCCCUUGCACCACCUCCGUCGUUGGUGCCUUUCGGUCCCUUUCUUCCAGUGGUGACUCAAUUUUGAAGACACAGGCAGCAGCUGCUGCGAUCAUAUAUGGACCUCAUGGUGUACCCGGCAGCGGCGCCUGCUGCAAAUGCAUAUGCAUGUAAGGGCAGCAGGUUCCAGAGACAGAACAAAUUUAGUUCCAGGAAACAAGUUAUAUGCAUUAUAUAUAUAUGUAUAAUAUCGAUUAACUAUAUGGAGAAAAAGCUACUAGUACCCAUC